RNAcentral lists this ribosomal RNA (591 nucleotides) under uncultured Bacilli bacterium. RNAcentral describes it as "bacterial SSU rRNA". It matches the Rfam family "Bacterial small subunit ribosomal RNA", at positions 125 to 702 of the family's 1533-position model. Lineage: Bacteria; Bacillati; Bacillota; Bacilli. The record is from RNAcentral.
CCUGCCCCGGAGCGGGGGAUAACAUUUGGAAACAGAUGCUAAUACCGCAUAACAACAAAAGCCACAUGGCUUUUGUAUGAAAGAUGGCUUUGGCUAUCACUCUGGGAUGGACCUGCGGUGCAUUAGCUAGUUGGUAAGGUAAUGGCUUACCAAGGCGAUGAUGCAUAGCCGAGUUGAGAGACUGAUCGGCCACAAUGGAACUGAGACACGGUCCAUACUCCUACGGGAGGCAGCAGUAGGGAAUCUUCCACAAUGGGCGCAAGCCUGAUGGAGCAACACCGCGUGAGUGAAGAAGGGUUUCGGCUCGUAAAGCUCUGUUGUUGGAGAAGAACGUGCGUGAGAGUAACUGUUCACGCAGUGACGGUAUCCAACCAGAAAGUCACGGCUAACUACGUGCCAGCAGCCGCGGUAAUACGUAGGUGGCAAGCGUUAUCCGGAUUUAUUGGGCGUAAAGCGAGCGCAGGCGGUUGCUUAGGUCUGAUGUGAAAGCCUUCGGCUUAACCGAAGAAGUGCAUCGGAAACCGGGCGACUUGAGUGCAGAAGAGGACAGUGGAACUCCAUGUGUAGCGGUGGAAUGCGUAGAUAUAUGGA